GACGAACGCUGGCGGCGUGCUUAACACAUGCAAGUCGAACGGGCCCGCCCCUGUUUUUGGGGGUGGGUUGAGUGGCGAACGGGUGAGUAUCACGUGAGUAACCUGCCCCCUGCUCCUGGAUAACUGCUUGAAAGGGCGGCUAAUACGGGGUGUGCCGGCUGGUCCGCAUGGGCCUGGUCGGGAUAGUUUCAUCUUCGGGUGUUUCGGUGGGGGAUGGGCUCGCGGCCUAUCAGCUUGUUGGUGGGGUGAUGGCCCACCAAGGCGGUGACGGGGAGCCGGCCUGAGAGGGUGGGCGGCCACACUGGGACUGAGACACGGCCCAGACUCCUGAGGGAGGCAGCAGUGGGGGGUAUUGCACAAUGGGCGGAAGCCUGAUGCAGCGACGUCGCGUGAGGGAUGGAGGCCUUCGGGUUGUGAACCUCUUUCUCCGGUGGUGAAGGCCCUGUCCGUUGCGGCGGGGUUGACGGUAGCCGGGUAUGAAGCGCCGGCUAACUACGUG
RNAcentral lists this ribosomal RNA (499 nucleotides) under uncultured bacterium. RNAcentral describes it as "partial 16S ribosomal RNA". It matches the Rfam family "Bacterial small subunit ribosomal RNA", at positions 28 to 507 of the family's 1533-position model. The record is from RNAcentral.